AAAAGUUAUGCCGUUAUGUCCUCCGUCAACAAGGGUAAUGAUUUAGAAUCUACCGCCGUUUAUUCCCAAUGAGCUAUUGGCGCUAAAGUGAUUUGCAGUUUGGGAAGAUUGCAAAUUCAAUGAAGAUUUCCUUUUUGGGUUGUUAACAUCGGGCUCUGAAACAGGGUGUUGUUUCGCUGACGGGUGUUUUGUGUUUUUGGACUCUCCGGAGCAGACUUUGGAGUUAUCGUUUAAGUCAAGUAUGACAACAGACUGUAUAUGGCUUAUGCUAGUACGGGUAGUCAACGGUGUUUUGAGUGUAGGGAUGUUGUCCGUAAGCGACAUACUUGCAAGGCAGAGGGAGGGGCGCAGUUGGUCCUCGUAAUGCCUGGGCCCACUGAUGUAGGGAGAGGUGGUCCUCGUAACACCUGAGCCCACUGAUAUAGAGAGAGGUGGUCCUCGUAACGCCUGGGCCCACUGACGUAGAGAGAGGUGGUCCUCGUAACGCCUGGGCCCACUGACGUAGAGAGAGGUGGUCCUCGUAACGCCUGGGCCCACUGAUGUAGGGAGAGGUGGUCCUCCUAAUGCCUGGGCCCACUGACGUAGAGAGAAGUGGUCCUCGUAACGCCUGGGCCCACUGAUGUAGAGAGAGGUGGUCCUCGUAACGCCUGGGCCCACUGACGUAGAGAGAGGUGGUCCUCGUAACGCCUGGGCCCACUGAUGUAGAGAGAGGUGGUCCUCGUAACGACUGGGCCCACUGACGUAGAGAGAGGUGGUCCUCGUAACGCCUGGGCCCACUGAUGUAGGGAGAGGUGGUCCUCGUAACGCCUGGGCCCACUGACGUAGAGAGAGGUGGUCCUCGUAACGCCUGGGCCCACUGACGUAGAGAGAGGUGGUCCUCGUAACGCCUGGGCCCACUGAUGUAGGGAGAGGUGGUCCUCCUAAUGCCUGGGCCCACUGACGUAGAGAGAAGUGGUCCUCGUAACGCCUGGGCCCACUGAUGUAGAGAGAGGUGGUCCUCGUAACGCCUGGGCCCACUGACGUAGAGAGAGGUGGUCCUCGUAACGCCUGGGCCCACUGAUGUAGAGAGAGGUGGUCCUCGUAACGCCUGGGCCCACUGACGUAGGGAGAGGUGGUCCUCGUAACGCCUGGGCCCACUGAUGUAGAGAGAGGUGGUCCUCGUAACGCCUGGGCCCACUGACGUAGAGAGAGGUGGUCCUCGUAACGCCUGGGCCCACUGACGUAGAGAGAGGUGGUCCUCGUAACGCCUGGGCCCACUGAUGUAGGGAGAGGUGGUCCUCGUAACGCCUGGGCCCACUGAUGUAGAGAGAGGUGGUCCUCGUAACGCCUGGGUCCACUGACGUAGAGAGAGGUGGUCCUCGUAACGCCUGGGCCCACUGACGUAGAGAGAGGUGGUCCUCGUAACGCCUGGGCCCACUGACGUAGAGAGAGGUGGUCCUCGUAACGCCUGGGCCCACUGAUGUAGAGAGAGGUGGUCCUCGUAACGCCUGGGCCCACUGAUGUAGGGAGAGGUGGUCCUCGUAAGGCCUGGGCCCACUGACGUAGAGAGAGGUGGUCCUCGUAACGCCUGGGCCCACUGAUGUAGGGAGAGGUGGUCCUCGUAACGCCUGGGCCCACUGAUGUAGGGAGAGGUGGUCCUCGUAACGCCUGGGCCCACUGAUGUAGGGAGAGGUGGUCCUCGUAACGCCUGGGCCCACUGAUGUAGGGAGAGGUGGUCCUCGUAACGCCUGGGCCCACUGACGUAGAGAGAGGUGGUCCUCGUAACGCCUGGGCCCACUGAUGUAGGGAGAGGUGGUCCUCGUAACGCCUGGGCCCACUGAUGUAGAGAGAGGUGGUCCUCCUAAUGCCUGGGCCCACUGAUGUAGGGAGAGGUGGUCCUCGUAACGCCUGGGCCCACUGAUGUAGAGAGAGGUGGUCCUCGUAACGCCUGGGCCCACUGACGUAGAGAGAGGUGGUCCUCGUAACGCCUGGGCCCACUGAUGUAGGGAGAGGUGGGGCCGACAGCGGUAGAGCAUCGACAACAGCAAGUCAAUUUACAAUUUAAAGUAGGUAAAUGGGUUCCUGGAUCAGACUUUUGGGAAAUCUGCCAAAUUGGCAGAUUUUUUUUAUGUUGAUAAGUUUGUGAGGUCAGCUGUGGUGUUACAGAAGACGGUGGGGUUAGACCAGUUGAGUGAGAAGAGAAACGUUUCCUCUUGAGGAAAUUUGUUACUGCUGUUACGGCAGCAAAAGGUAUUGGGAAACGUGAUCAGGUUAAGAGACAAUGAUGACCAAGCCCUUUUAGUGUGUGUUUGUUUCUCUGUCUUAUUUCUCUGUUGUUGCUUCUGUUGUACUAUUUUCUACAUGGCAAUCAAUUGCAAGGAUCCUUAAUCAACGUAGACAAACCGAGCAUGAAAUAUAAUCGCACAGAACAUAGCAAACUCACUUGGAUUAUUUUGGCUUUGAGGCAAGCCUUGCAUUUCAUUUUCAAACUGGGUGACUGAAGCAAAAUGGCCACCUUUUACCGAGAUGUGCUAGCGAUGAAGAUUUUGCAUCACAAAGAGUUUGAAGAAGGAUGUAAGGCAACUUGUAAGGGCCCUUAUGAUGGAGAAGACAAUGGUCGGCUUUGGGCCAGAGGAUGAUGACUUUGGUCCCUCACUGAGGGGAUCUGCUUGGUUGGUCCCUCACUGAGGGGAUCUGCUUGGUUGGUCCCUCACUGAGAGGAUCUGCUUGGUUGGUCCCUCACUGAGGGGAUCUGCUUGGUUGGUCCCUCACUGAGGGGAUCUGCUUGGUUGGUCCCUCACUGAGGGGAUCUGCUUGGUUGGUCCCUCACUGAGGGGAUCUGCUUGGUUGGUCCCUCACUGAGGGGAUCUGCUUGGUUGGUCCCUCACUGAGGGGAUCUGCUUGGUUGGUCCCUCACUGAGGGGAUCUGCUUGGUUGGUCCCUCACUGAGGGGAUCUGCUUGGUUGGUCCCUCACUGAGGGGAUCUGCUAGGUUGGUCCCUCACUGAGGGGAUCUGCAUGGUUGGCCCCUUACUGAGAGGAUCUGCUUGGUUGGCCCCUUACUGAGAGGAUCUGCUUGGUUGGCCCCUUACUGAGAGGAUCUGCUUGGUUGUUUGAGUGUGUGUUGUUUUGUGGGUUCCCAGACCCAAUAAAGGUACUUUAAAACUGUCCCUCUCUGUCUAUCUCACUCUGUCUCUCUCUGUGUCUCUCUCUGUAUCUGUCUGUCUCCUCUCUCUGUCUCUCUCUGUCUCUGACUCUCUGUCUGUGUCUGUGUCUCCGUCUCUCUCUCUUUCUCUGUCUGUCUGUGUGUCUCUCUCUCUCUCUGUCUACCUCUCUCUGUGUCUCUCUCUCUGUGUGUCUGUCUCUCUCUCUCUGUCUCCCUCUCUCUGUGUCUCUCUCUCUGUGUCUCUCUCUCUGUGUGUCUGUCUCCCUCUCUCUGUCUACCUCUCUCUGUGUCUCUCUCUCUGUGUCUCUCUGU
Salvelinus fontinalis (brook trout) is the source of this 3456-nucleotide long non-coding RNA. RefSeq lists it as uncharacterized. The transcript has 11 exons. Lineage: Eukaryota; Metazoa; Chordata; Actinopteri; Salmoniformes; Salmonidae. The record is from RefSeq and is a predicted model, not a curated record.